CCCCUUUCGUUUGCACCCCGGAAGCCCUAUAUCUGGGGGGCCACCCAGCAAUGGGCGGCUAUGGUGAUAAAAUGCCAUCGUAAUAAACCUUUCGGACCCGGGGGCAGUACCCGGCGCCUCCACCACAGCCGUUUGACUUCAAACGGCAGACGCCCGACAGCAGAUUUCCUUAAAUCUGCGAUAGGGCAACUUAGCUGCAAGCGGCUUUGAUGGGGGCGAACUAGGAUCGACGAGGGUGUAAAGGAUGGAGCUUUGCCCGUGAUGGUUCCGACGUUAUCGGGCUAAACAAGUAGUUGCAAAUGACAACUAUGCUCCGGUACGUCUCGCUGCUUAAUGCAGUGCGAAUGCCGAAAUCAAAGUCCUGAGGCUUAGCCGUUUCAGGCGGGGUCCGCCGGCACCUGGCAACAGAAGCCGGCACU
RNAcentral lists this transfer-messenger RNA (419 nucleotides) under Hyphomicrobiales bacterium. It matches the Rfam family "Alphaproteobacteria transfer-messenger RNA". From Rfam's summary of the family: Bacterial tmRNA, also known as 10Sa RNA or SsrA, is named for its dual tRNA and mRNA-like properties. Its role is to liberate the mRNA from a stalled ribosome. The record is from RNAcentral. RNAcentral also lists the same sequence under 1 other name. Lineage: Bacteria; Pseudomonadati; Pseudomonadota; Alphaproteobacteria; Hyphomicrobiales.